Molecule: ribosomal RNA, 462 nt
Filed under: uncultured bacterium
Lineage: Bacteria
Description: partial 16S ribosomal RNA
Rfam family: Bacterial small subunit ribosomal RNA
Source: RNAcentral
GACGAACGCUGGCGGCGUGCUUAACACAUGCAAGUCGAGCGGAAAGGGCCGUCGGGGUACUCGAGCGGCGCACGGGCGAGUAACAGGGGAGUAACCGGGCCCAGACCUUGGGAUAACCCGCGGAAACGGGGGCUAAUACCGGAUACGACACAGCGACGCGUGGGGGCAGUGUGGAAAGGUGGUCGGUUUGGGAUGGGCUCGCGGCCUAUCAGCUUGUUGGUGGGGUGAUGGCGUACCAAGGCGACGACGGGUAGCCGGCCUGAGAGGGCGACCGGCCACACUGGGACUGAGACACGGCCCAGACUCCUACGGGAGGCAGCAGUGGGGAAUAUUGCACAAUGGGCGGAAGCCUGAUGCAGCAACGCCGCGUGAGGGAUGACGGCCUUCGGGUUGUAAACCUCUUUCAGCAGGGACGAAGCGUAAGUGACGGUACCUGCAGAAAAAGCGCCGGCUAACUACGUG